GAAUAUUGGACAAUGGGCGCAAGCCUGAUCCAGCCAUGCCGCGUGCAGGAUGACGGUCCUAUGGAUUGUAAACUGCUUUUAUACGAGAAGAAACACUACUUCGUGAAGUAGCUUGACGGUAUCGUAAGAAUAAGGAUCGGCUAACUCCGUGCCAGUAGCCGCGGUAAUACGGAGGAUCCAAGCGUUAUCCGGAAUCAUUGGGUGUAAAGGGUCCGUAGGCGGUGUAGUAAGUCAGUGGUGAAAGCCCAGCGCUCAACGGUGGAACGGCCAUUGAUACUGCUAGACUUGAAUUAUUAGGAAGUAACUAGAAUAUGUAGUGUAGCGGUGAAAUGCUUAGAGAUUACAUGGAAUACCAAUUGCGAAGGCAGGUUACUACUAAUUGAUUGACGCUGAUGGACGAAAGCGUGGGUAGCGAACAGG
Molecule: ribosomal RNA, 420 nt
Filed under: uncultured bacterium
Lineage: Bacteria
Description: bacterial SSU rRNA
Rfam family: Bacterial small subunit ribosomal RNA
Source: RNAcentral